This 684-nucleotide unclassified non-coding RNA is filed under the name Hevea brasiliensis (rubber tree). The record is from RNAcentral. Lineage: Eukaryota; Viridiplantae; Streptophyta; Magnoliopsida; Malpighiales; Euphorbiaceae.
ACUUGUUUUGCUUUUUCAGUUGACUCUUCCGUUAAAGGUUAGGUUCUGUCAUCAAAGAUGGACAGCUUGAACAUUUAAGAAGCCAGAGGGAGUGGGUUCUGCUAUUGUGGAUGCAAAUUGUAUUCGUAGAAGAAAGUUAGAUUGACAUCAUACCCAUCAGAUUUCUCGCUUCCAAGAGUCCUCCAAUUGAUAUUGCUUCUCAUAUAGCGCAAAUUACUUGUGCAAAUAGUAUUAGGACAUUUCGGCUUGAAUUUUAUUGGUUACUACAUACAGCAGCAGGUGGCCCAUUUUGCUUCUCUGUGGAGCCGCGAUCUAUUAGCGUAUUGAGCAGUUCAAAUAGAUGGAGAGCCGCAUCGAGCAGCAAGUUGUACCAUUCCUGGUAGGAGCUAUAUGCUGCUCUUGCAAAGCAACAGAACCAUAUGGCUAAAAUGGUCCACCCAAAACACAAGGCGAGAAUCAAUAGAAGCAAAAUGGUUGCAAGAAUUCAGAAUAAGAUGCAUGAGUCGCCAAUAAUUACAUUUGCUGAUUGGUAUUUGAUUUGUAUGAUGCAAUGCAAGGUCGAGAUGUAGAGAGGAAAGGAAGUUAACCGUGAUUAUUUUCUGAUCAGCAUAACAUAUGUAUAGUGAGGGAGAGUAGGUGUUCACUUUUUCCUCCCUCCCCACACUUCCCUUCCUAACCCUGCCC